UGACAGUGGCGAAAGGGUGCGUAGCGCGUGGGUAACCUGCCCUCGAGAUUGGGAUAACCCCUCGAAAGGGGGACUAAUACCAGAUGAGGUCGUUCUUCGCAUGGAGAAUUGUCCAAAGGUGGGGACCCUUCGGGGCCUGCCGCUUGAGGAGGGGCCCGCGUCCCAUCAGCUAGUUGGUGAGGUAACGGCUCACCAAGGCUUACGGGUAGCUGGUCUGAGAGGAUGGUCAGCCACACUGGGACUGAGACACUGCCCAGACUCCUACGGGAGGCUGCAGUCGAGGAUCAUUGUCAAUGCGCGAAAGCGUGAACAUGCGACGCUGCGUGGAGGAUGAAGGCCUUCGGGUUGUAAACUCCUGUCAUUCGGGAAAAACUGCACGGGUGUGAAUAGCGCCUGUGCGUGAUGGUACCGGAAGAGGAAGCCGCUGCUAACUCUGUGCCAGCAGCAGCGGUAAUACAGAGGCGGCAAGCGUUGUUCGGAUUUACUGGGCGUAAAGGGUGCGUAGGCGGCACUGUAUGUCGGGUGUGAAAUCCCACGGCCCAACCGUGGAAUUGCAUUCGAAACUGCAGAGCUAGAGUGCAGGAAGGGAGAGCGGAAUUCUUGGUGUAGCGGUGAAAUGCGUUGAUAUCAAGAGGAACGCCGGCGGCGAAGGCGGCUCUCUGGAAUGCAACUGACGCUGAGGCACGAAAGCUGGGGGAGCAAACAGGAUUAGAUACCCUGGUAGUCCCAGCCCUAAACGGUGCGCACUUGGUGUUGGGGGAAUUGACCCCCUCAGUGCCGUAGCUAACGCGUUAAGUGCGCCGCCUGGGGAGUACGGCCGCAAGGCUAAAACUCAAAGAAAUUGACGGGGGCCCGCACAAGCGGAGUAGCAUGUGGCUUAAUUCGAUGCAACGCGAAGAACCUUACCAGGGCUUGACAUGUAGCUGCACGUCCAGUGAAAGCUGGACUCCUUCGUGGGUGCUACACAGGUGCUGCAUGGCUGUCGUCAGUUCGUGCCGAGAGGUGUUGGGUUAAGUCCCGCAACGAACGCAACCCCUGUGUUUAGUUGCCACUCCCGCGCAAGUGGGAAGCACUCUAAACAGACUGCCCGUACAAGCGGGAGGAAGGUGGGGAUGACGUCAAGUCAGUAUGGCCCUUACGUCCUGGGCUGCACACGUGCUACAAUGGCCGGUACAGAGGGAUGCGAGACCGCGAGGUGGAGCAAAUCCCCGAAAACCGGCCCCAGUUCAGAUUGAAGUCUGCAACGACUUCAUGAAGUUGGAUUCGCUAGUAACGGCGCAUCAGCUACGGCGCCGUGAAUACGUUCCC
This 1308-nucleotide ribosomal RNA is filed under the name metagenome. RNAcentral's name for it is "bacterial SSU rRNA". It matches the Rfam family "Bacterial small subunit ribosomal RNA", at positions 90 to 1375 of the family's 1533-position model. The record is from RNAcentral.